AUCUAUGAACAGCUGAGCAUCAGAGAAAAUGCUCUUUAGACACAUGCUAUAUUCUCAGCAGAACUGUCUACAGCCCACUAUCCCCUCCAGGGUAAUGUUGAGGCCCCCUUAUGCACUUUGGGUGGAAUCUAAGAGAGGUGUUUUUUUCUGUUGCAAAAUGGAACCAAUAUCUACUGUGAUAUGAACCUCUACACCUCCAGUCAGGGUCUGUAGGCAGCAUCACCUCACCGUUUCUUGAUUGCAAACUCAUAAUCUAUGGCUCAUUCUUCAUGCACAGUAGUAAUCAACAGGGUGGAACACCUGUAGAUAAUCAUUACUCUGGUCAAGCACCUCUUUUCUUCUGGUGACUUCUUCAGGAGCCACCUGGUCAAAGAAAUUCUCCACAAAGGUCAUAGUGUAUGUCCAAAAGGUCACAGUGUAUGUCCGAAGGUCAUAUGUCCAAAAGGUGGAACAGACCUUUGGCGUUCAUUUUUGAGGGAGGAAGUCACUUAGAGUUUAUGCAUAAAAAACAAUUUAAUUUCAGGUUGGUCCACAAUUCUGCGGAAAUAGUUAACCCGUUUGCAAUUCAAAUGUCAUGGCCUUACAUACGAGCCUAACAGAGAACAGGAAAGGAGCCAAUGCGCACUAUACCAAAAAUAGGCUACAUGUAAAGCAGUGUGGUGUUCCUGUAUUAUCAUGUAUAAUCAUGCAUUAUCAUGCAUUAUCAUGCGUUAUCAAUGCUCUGGUGGCGUGCUGUAGCUAUGCUCAGGUUUGGGACUCAGACGACGUUCAUCGUGCUUUAUCGCGUACAAACCGUGUUGUUUGCUAAUACCAGUGUGCUGCUGUGAUACGCUGGAAAAGCUAUGCUGCACCUUCAAAGCUAGCGCCGGGGGGUGUUAGUCGAGUUAGCGCGGUCAUCAUCAACACUGCAGUGUUGAUGCUGAUGUACGUAAAGCACUAGAGUAUAUAAAGGCAAGGCAGGUAGAAUUGGAGGCGUGAUUGGAGGAGUAGGUGAUGUUUCCCUCUAACCGCUGCCACUUUGGACUUCUAUACUUCGUUGUGAGUUCCCGGGUAUUGUACCUUUUCUGACCUGUCUGAAUGUGUUGUUUUUUUUAAGCUUUAAUAGUAAUGUGAAAAAAUGGACAUUCAUUUUAUACAUUUUAUGUAUUUUGUUCUAUUGUCUUAAUGUUGAAAGUCUUACGGUUUUUUCCAAUCAUUUUAACUCUUGUAUCAAUACCAUGUACACAUUCCCAAAACACUUAACACACCGAGCAUACCAGUAGACUAUGUGAACCAAACUGUGGUUACUUGCCCCUAUGCUUAGAUACAAAUGCAGUCAAUGACACCUUCUUCCGAAAUUCAUAGAUACCUGUCUCAGUCAAUGUUCACUACCAGCAAAACGCUGUGCAACUACAGCAUUUUUUGCCGAUGUUUAGAUACUCUGUUCAAAACAGUUAACUUUCAGUUCAAAACCUAACUUACAGUAAUUUAGAUCACUGCAGAUGGAAAUAUGCUGUAUUUGGACAGAACAAUGAAGUUAUAUGCUUGAAUAAGAAAAAGUAUUCUUAUUUUAGCAGAAGGUUUAUUUAGAUUAUUUAGUUGUUUUGGCUUGCAGACUUCUUACUAUCUCUACAGAAGGCAAACAUAGAUGUAACUGUUCCUGAAGAGUUGUUUCCACUAUUACAGUACUGCUCUAUAUGUAAGUCAUAGGCUAUCAGUGAAAGACAGUGAUUGAAGAAUGCAAUUACAGUAAAUUUACCCACUCAAUUGUGACAUCUACUGUGAGAGGCAAACCGACAUAUGAACACUGUCUUCAGAUACUUGGCUUGGAUUGACGUAUUUCCAAGAUGCAAUGCAGAGGAGAAUGUUACCGUACAUGCGAAGUUCAAACAUGUAAAAGUUUGACACCAAAUGCAGAGGACAGAAUGGAUCAGCUUUAGGGCUACAGCAGACUUCUAGUGGUAUUACAGUACUUUGGUAGACUGUAUCUUGUGUUGAUGUAUGUUAUUUACUGCAUUGGAAAUACUGCAGUAAAUACGUAGCAUAUUCAUGCCUUUUUGUUGUAAUGUAGUAAGCCUAUACAGUGCAGUAACACGUGCAAUUUUAGCAUAUGGCUUUAAUGAAACAUAUUGCAGCAUUUUAGAAUGAUUUGUUUACUGUAAUAUUACAAACUUUAUUACUGUAGUACAAAGAAGUGUUUGUCUGUGUGUGUUAUUUCUCUUUUUUGCAAUGCAACACUACAGUAAUCAAUGCCAAACUGAAGGACACAGCAACAUGUUAUACAUGCAAUUGGCAAUGCUUCAAGUUGUUAGUGUUUUUUAGGUCAUUGUACUCUGAGAGAGAACAUGUGCUAAGUUACGGCAGCAUGAGUUGUCUUUUGGUGGUUGUAGUGCAUUUUGCAUCAAAGGUUAACUGAUAUGCCGAGGUGUGUGUCUGUAAAGUCCACUGUGUGAAGAGUUUGGGAAAAGUGUUCAUGGUAUUGAGACAAGAGUGAAAAUGAUUGGAAAAAACUGUAAGUAAAAAUGUUAAAUAUGUUUUUAACUACAAACGCUUAAGUUAACACUUAAUUGCAGGAGUAAGUUAGUAGAUGGCUGUGCCGUGCAAACCCCACUGAACCCACACGAAGCAUGUCAGUGCUGUCAACCAUGCAUUUGAACCCCCUUGGUAGUGUGCUCACCUCACACACUCGAGGUCACAGAUUCUAGCCCAGUGGAGGGACAAGACACAACAUCGGUUGCACGCCCGUUUGGCGGAGCGAUUCCUCGAAGUAGCCGAGGCUUAGUGGCUCGUUUGUACAUGUGCUUAACCUUCAGUCAACCUUCAGUCAACCUUUCAGUCGUCACCUUUCGCCCAUGUAUCUUCACGCAGGUGACUUUAUUUAUUGGUUUACAUUUACAUUUCAUUUGGUUACGUUGUACUUGUGGUGGAGUGUAUUCUGUCCGUUUCUGAGAGGAAUAUGUAUGCUGUGCUUUAAAGUAGAACGUGAUGUCGAGUAAUAUGCCUUGAUAAGACAGAUAAGGAGACGAGGGUUUCCUCUUUGUCCUGUGGGACGUCCUGUUGUGAUGGAGUGGGACAGCGCCACACUAUUCCCAUAGCUGCUUUUUUUGGACAGAUUUCACACAAAUGUGGGCUUGUGAUGUAGCUGCUCUUAUUCUCUUAAGCCACCGCAGUGGCAUGGUCUCUUCAUGAGACUGAGCAAACCUCUCCUCCAUGGUCUCUUCAUGAGACUGAGCAAACCGCUCCGCUCUCUUUCCUUCAGGUAGAGCCCGAGCUCUGACUCUUAAAUUAGGUUGUUUUUUUCUUCGUUUUUUUUUUUUUUUUUGCGUGUGGAGAAAAAUGUCACAGAAAACUUCAGCUGUUCCCCCUGGAGCUGUUCCACUGAAUUAGUUUAGUUGGUGACUCACUAACUGUGGCGUACACACACACAUAUUUGAUAUUUAUUUCAGCAGUGACUCACGGACUGUGGCAUAACACACACAUAUUUGAUAUUUAUUUCAGCCGUGGCCUCUGAGGUGAAGUAAUUUGCUCAAGUGUGCGACACCAGCUACCAAACUAAUUUGGCCAGCUAACAACCCCCCUUGAGUUUGCCUUUGUACAUUUUGAAAAGCGUUCCUGUAUUCUAAACACUAAGUCAAAAGUUACAUUAACAUACCUCAGCACACAAUCCACCCCUUUUUAAAAAUGUUUUUAUCUAAUCCUUGCCUUAGGGUGCUUGGUCAUGCUCUCUACCAUGGUACACAUAUUCUGCAUCUCGUGGGCUUCUGUGAGUUCUGCCUCUUCUUCUCAAUGGAUAAUAAUUAUGAAAUCAUCAACAAGUGAUCUUUUUCGAUGUGGUAUAUUAGUUUAUAUUGCUUAAACAAAGUAUCAGGCUUUUGUGUUUUAGUCAUUACAUGAAGAUGUUUUCUUUUGAAGGGAUUGUGGCUCAAAUGUCCUCUAUGUGUAUUCUGUUUUAUUAAAGUAUCGUAUAUAUAAGAUGAAGGUGAUGUUUGAUAUAUGUUCAUGUGUAUUUGUAAAAAAAAAACUAAAGCUAUUCACAAACUAUUGUAAAUAACGAUCAAAUUAUAUGAGUUGCCUCUAUCUCUCAGUGUUGUACUUAUUUAUUUUUUUAAAUAAAGCUUCUCUAUUAAGACCCACA
This is a long non-coding RNA of Clupea harengus (Atlantic herring), 4114 nucleotides long. Lineage: Eukaryota; Metazoa; Chordata; Actinopteri; Clupeiformes; Clupeidae. The record is from Ensembl.